UACGGGGGGGGCAAGCGUUGUUCGGAAUUACUGGGCGUAAAGGGCUCGUAGGCGGCCAACUAAGUCGGAUGUGAAAUCCCCAGGCUCAACCUGGGAACUGCAUCCGAUACUGGAUGGCUUGAAUCCGGGAGAGGGAUGCAGAAUUCCAGGUGUAGCGGUGAAAUGCGUAGAUAUCCUGAGGAACACCGGUGGCGAAAGCGGCGCGCUGGAUCCCUUCUGACGCUGAGGCGCGAAAGCCAGGGGAGCAAACGGG
RNAcentral lists this ribosomal RNA (253 nucleotides) under uncultured bacterium. RNAcentral describes it as "partial 16S ribosomal RNA". It matches the Rfam family "Bacterial small subunit ribosomal RNA", at positions 524 to 776 of the family's 1533-position model. The record is from RNAcentral.